CUGGACUCACAGAUGAAGCAGAGAUUCAAGUCCAGAGAUGCAAACAGAAGGUGAAGCAGUUUCUUACUCGCAGGUUUACCAAAAGAAGCAUCACCAUCCGAGAGGACAAUUACUUUCCCACACAGGGCCAAGUCGGUGAGGUGUGGGCCGAGAUCAGCAGGGAGCUGAGUGUGGACGGCGUGAGGCCAGUUAGCCCCGAUCGGGAGGCUCUGAGCAACAUCUGUAAGACUGCAGAGGACACCGCAAGGAGGCUCAUGGAG
This is a long non-coding RNA of Archocentrus centrarchus (flier cichlid), 260 nucleotides long. RefSeq lists it as uncharacterized. Lineage: Eukaryota; Metazoa; Chordata; Actinopteri; Cichliformes; Cichlidae. The record is from RefSeq and is a predicted model, not a curated record. The transcript has 3 exons.